CAUAGGUUAAUGAGGCGAACCGGGGGAACUGAAACAUCUAAGUACCCCGAGGAAAAGAAAUCAACCGAGAUUCCCCCAGUAGCGGCGAGCGAACGGGGAGCAGCCCAGAGCCUGAAUCAGUGUGUGUGUUAGUGGAAGCGUCUGGAAAGGCGCGCGAUACAGGGUGACAGCCCCGUACACAAAAAUGCACAUGCUGUGAGCUCGAUGAGUAGGGCGGGACACGUGGUAUCCUGUCUGAAUAUGGGGGGACCAUCCUCCAAGGCUAAAUACUCCUGACUGACCGAUAGUGAACCAGUACCGUGAGGGAAAGGCGAAAAGAACCCCGGCGAGGGGAGUGAAAAAGAACCUGAAACCGUGUACGUACAAGCAGUGGGAGCACGCUUAGGCGUGUGACUGCGUACCUUUUGUAUAAUGGGUCAGCGACUUAUAUUCUGUAGCAAGGUUAACCGAAUAGGGGAGCCGAAGGGAAACCGAGUCUUAACUGGGCGUUAAGUUGCAGGGUAUAGACCCGAAACCCGGUGAUCUAGCCAUGGGCAGGUUGAAGGUUGGGUAACACUAACUGGAGGACCGAACCGACUAAUGUUGAAAAAUUAGCGGAUGACUUGUGGCUGGGGGUGAAAGGCCAAUCAAACCGGGAGAUAGCUGGUUCUCCCCGAAAGCUAUUUAGGUAGCGCCUCGUGAAUUCAUCUCCGGGGGUAGAGCACUGUUUCGGCAAGGGGGUCAUCCCGACUUACCAACCCGAUGCAAACUACGAAUACCGGAGAAUGUUAUCACGGGAGA
RNAcentral lists this ribosomal RNA (780 nucleotides) under Escherichia coli. RNAcentral's name for it is "partial 23S ribosomal RNA". It matches the Rfam family "Bacterial large subunit ribosomal RNA", at positions 165 to 984 of the family's 2925-position model. The record is from RNAcentral. Lineage: Bacteria; Pseudomonadati; Pseudomonadota; Gammaproteobacteria; Enterobacterales; Enterobacteriaceae.